Molecule: ribosomal RNA, 464 nt
Filed under: uncultured bacterium
Lineage: Bacteria
Description: partial 16S ribosomal RNA
Rfam family: Bacterial small subunit ribosomal RNA
Source: RNAcentral
CUACGGGCCGCUGCAGUGAGGAAUUUUGCGCAAUGGGGGAAACCCUGACGCAGCAACGCCGCGUGAGUGAAGAAGGCUUUCGGGUCGUAAAGCUCUGUCAGAUAGGAAAAAAGUUCAUAUGUAAAUAGCUUAUGAAUCUGAUGGUACUAUCAGAGGAAGCACCGGCUAACUCCGUGCCAGCAGCCGCGGUAAUACGGAGGGUGCAAGCGUUGUUCGGAAUUACUGGGCGUAAAGGGCGUGUAGGCGGUAUGGUAAGUCAGAUGUGAAAGCCCUGGGCUUAACUCAGGAAGUGCAUUUGAUACUGCCAUCCUUGAGUAUGGGAGAGGAGAGUAGAAUUACCAGUGUAGAGGUGAAAUUCGUAGAUAUUGGGAGGAAUACCCGUGGCGAAGGCGACUCUCUGGACCAAUACUGGCGCUGAGACGCGAAAGCGUGGGGAGCAAACAGGAUUAGAUACCCUAGUAGUC